GAUGAACGCUAGCUACAGGCUUAACACAUGCAAGUCGAGGGGAAACGGCAUCGAAAGCUUGCUUUUGAUGGGCGUCGACCGGCGCACGGGUGAGUAACGCGUAUCCAACCUGCCCAUCACUUGGGAAUAACCUUGCGAAAGUAAGACUAAUGCCCAAUGACAUCCCACGAAGGCAUCCGAAUGGGAUUAAAGAUUUAUCGGUGAUGGAUGGGGAUGCGUCUGAUUAGCUUGUUGGCGGGGUGACGGCCCACCAAGGCAACGAUCAGUAGGGGUUCUGAGAGGAAGGUCCCCCACAUUGGAACUGAGACACGGUCCAAACUCCUACGGGAGGCAGCAGUGAGGAAUAUUGGUCAAUGGGCGGGAGCCUGAACCAGCCAAGUAGCGUGCAGGAUGACGGCCCUAUGGGUUGUAAACUGCUUUUAUAAGGGAAUAAAGUGGGUCACGUGUGACUUUUUGCAUGUACCUUAUGAAUAAGGACCGGCUAAUUCCGUG
This 492-nucleotide ribosomal RNA is filed under the name uncultured bacterium. Its description in RNAcentral is "partial 16S ribosomal RNA". It matches the Rfam family "Bacterial small subunit ribosomal RNA", at positions 28 to 507 of the family's 1533-position model. The record is from RNAcentral.